Apus apus (common swift) is the source of this 751-nucleotide long non-coding RNA. RefSeq lists it as uncharacterized. The transcript is spliced from 2 exons. The record is from RefSeq and is a predicted model, not a curated record. NCBI's taxonomy places the organism in Eukaryota, Metazoa, Chordata, Aves, Apodiformes, Apodidae.
AAUGGGCUGGAUCCCGAGGGAGGAGACGCUGAAGCAAUGAUGCCUUCCGGGCUUCCCCGCACCCAACCGCUCUUUGUGGUCCCAAACUCCAGUGUGUGCAUCUUUGGGCUUUGAAACCACGCCGGAACGAUCACAUCCUUCAGGCAGAAGAGGAAACUCUCACCUCCUAGAUGUAUGUAUCUGCAUGAAACUCCAUUAUUAGCAGACCUUGGGAGGUUUUGAAGAAGAGGACAGCAGAGGGAAGGCUGCAACAUCCAGCACCUGAGCCAGAGAACACAAAGCAUCUCUUCCCCUGCUGUGCUGUGAAAUGUGUACGAGAUGUGCAGACUGUCCUCAGACCCACCCCGAGACCUGUGCCCAGCACCUCAGCACCUGCAGCCACGGGAUUACAGCAGCACCUGCACUUUGGUUUAAAGCAAGGACAAGCUUCUAACCUUUGGUUUUGUGGGGUUCAGUUUGAAAUGAGGCAGGGGUGAAACCAACCCCGCCUGAGUGCAAACUGUUCCUCUGCAGUGCAGUUCAGACACGUACCUGAGGCUGCACCCUGGCAGGACAGCUCUCUGCCAUGGCUCAUCUGCCUCCACCUCUGCCCCAGUUUCAAAGCUCUUCAGCAAUAUGUUCUGCAACAAACAAGGAUUUCUGGGGCAACUUCAGUAAGAUCAGAAAGACAUUCUUCUGCUGCUUUGUAAUCUGUGAGUGUGAACGAUUCAUUCAUAUCUAUCUGAUGAUCAAAUAAAUUUUUAAUUAUCAA